RNAcentral lists this ribosomal RNA (483 nucleotides) under Colymbetes paykulli. Its description in RNAcentral is "partial 16S ribosomal RNA". It matches the Rfam family "Bacterial large subunit ribosomal RNA", at positions 1857 to 2597 of the family's 2925-position model. Lineage: Eukaryota; Metazoa; Arthropoda; Insecta; Coleoptera; Dytiscidae. The record is from RNAcentral.
ACCUGCCCACUGAUUUUUUUGAAGGGCCGCAGUAAUUUGACUGUGCAAAGGUAGCAUAAUCAUUAGUUUUUUAAUUAAAAGCUUGUAUGAAGGGUUGGACGAGGUAAAAUCUGUCUCUAUUUAAAUUAUUAUAGAAUUUAAUUUUUAAGUUAAAAAGCUUAAAUUUAUUUAAAAGACGAGAAGACCCUAUAGAUCUUUAUAUAAAUUAUAUUAAUUUUAAUUAAGAAUAUUUUAUUUAUUAUUAUAAUUUAUAUUUUAUUGGGGUAAUAAAAAGAUUAAGAAAAUUCUUUUUUUAUUUAAACAUUGAUUUAUGAUUAAAUGAUCCAAUAUUUUUGAUUAAAAGAUUAAGUUACCUUAGGGAUAACAGCGUAAUUUUUUUAGAGAGUUCAUAUCGAUAAAAAAGUUUGCGACCUCGAUGUUGGAUUAAAAAUUAUCUUAGGUGCAGAAGUUUAAGAUUUUGGUCUGUUCGACCAUUAAAUUUUU